RNAcentral lists this unclassified non-coding RNA (222 nucleotides) under Hevea brasiliensis (rubber tree). Lineage: Eukaryota; Viridiplantae; Streptophyta; Magnoliopsida; Malpighiales; Euphorbiaceae. The record is from RNAcentral.
UGGUCACCGCGCUCUCCUCCCCCGCCGCCGCCUCCGCCGCCUCGGGCGGGCGGUUGGGGUCGCCGAACUGUCCGGCGGAGUUGAGCAGCACGACGCCACGGACCAGCUCCGGCACCUCGGUCGCCGCGAACAGCGUCGUGAAGCCGCCGAGGCUGUUGCCGACGAUGACGGCCGGGUCCUUGACGACGUCCCGGAGGAAGUCGCGGACCUGCUCCAUCCAGA